GCACAAGCGGUGGAUGAUGUGGUUAAUUCGACGCAACGCGAAGAACCUUACCAGGGCUUGACAUCUACAGGAUCUUGAGGAAACUCAGGAGUGCCCUUCGGGGAACUGUAAGACAGGUGGUGCAUGGUUGUCGUCAGCUCGUGUCGUGAGAUGUUGGGUUAAGUCCCGCAACGAGCGCAACCCCUAUGUUUAGUUGCUAGCGAGUAAGGUCGAGCACUCUAGACAGACUGCCGGUGAUAAACCGGAGGAAGGUGGGAUGACGUCAAAUCAUCAUGCCCCUUAUGUUCUGGGCUACACACGUGCUACAAUGGCCGGUACAGACGGACGCAAAGCCGCGAGGUGGAGCAAAUCCUAAAAAGCCGGUCUCAGUUCGGAUUGCAGGCUGCAAUUCGCCUGCAUGAAGUCGGAAUCGCUAGUAAUCGCAGGUCAGCAUACUGCGGUGAAUACGUUCCCGGGCCUU
RNAcentral lists this ribosomal RNA (460 nucleotides) under uncultured Desulfosporosinus sp. RNAcentral describes it as "bacterial SSU rRNA". It matches the Rfam family "Bacterial small subunit ribosomal RNA", at positions 923 to 1382 of the family's 1533-position model. The record is from RNAcentral. Lineage: Bacteria; Bacillati; Bacillota; Clostridia; Eubacteriales; Desulfitobacteriaceae.